CACGUAGGGGACGAGCGUUGUCCGGAUUCAUUGGGCGUAAAGCGCGCGUAGGCGGCUCGGAAAGUCGGUCGUGAAAUGCCGGGGCUCAACCCCGGGACUGCGUCCGAUACUCCCGAGCUGGAGGCAGGUAGGGGAGAUCGGAAUUCCUGGUGUAGCGGUGAAAUGCGUAGAUAUCAGGGGGAAUACCGAUGGCGAAGGCGGUACUCUGGGCUAACACUGACGCUGAGGUGCGAAAGCGUGGGGAGCAAACGGG
RNAcentral lists this ribosomal RNA (253 nucleotides) under uncultured bacterium. RNAcentral describes it as "partial 16S ribosomal RNA". It matches the Rfam family "Bacterial small subunit ribosomal RNA", at positions 524 to 776 of the family's 1533-position model. The record is from RNAcentral.